RNAcentral lists this transfer RNA (88 nucleotides) under Ipomoea nil (Japanese morning glory). It matches the Rfam family "tRNA". From Rfam's summary of the family: Transfer RNA (tRNA) molecules are approximately 80 nucleotides in length. Their secondary structure includes four short double-helical elements and three loops (D, anti-codon, and T loops). Lineage: Eukaryota; Viridiplantae; Streptophyta; Magnoliopsida; Solanales; Convolvulaceae. The record is from Rfam by way of RNAcentral.
CCGACCUUAGCUCAGUUAGUAGAGGAGGACUGUAGUUGAUUAAUCUAAAUUGGAAAUUAGGUCGCUGGUUCGAAUCCGGCAGGUCGGA